CUUGGUCAUUUAGAGGAAGUAAAAGUCGUAACAAGGUUUUGUUCUCGAGUAACGAGGAUGGAUUGGACUCCCUUCCGCGGUGACACUCACAGAAGCCUUUGCAGCCUCGCAAGAGGUCUGGCGCGACAGUAAAGAAUGCCUGAUGCAAGUCAGUUCGCUGGCAACACUUUCGAAUUGCGGGGACGUCCUGAGAGCUCGGUUCUACCAACCAGCAGAGAAAUCUAGCCGGGGCUGAUGUUAACAGCAUCGGAGGGUAAGAAUGAAUCGAGAUUGGAUGAUCCGCAGCCAACCCCUAAGGCUUGCUGCUAUGGGAGAGGUUCACAGACUAAGUGGAAGUGGGUGGUAUGCUCUAGCGUACUGCUUAAGAUAUAGUCGGUCUCUGCUGGAAACAGCGGAGAAGUCACUGCACAUGAAACGUUCCGUAGGUGAACCU
Molecule: non-coding RNA, 433 nt
Filed under: Protomyces macrosporus
Lineage: Eukaryota; Fungi; Ascomycota; Taphrinomycetes; Taphrinales; Protomycetaceae
Description: group I intron
Rfam family: Group I catalytic intron (bases 34-396)
About the family: Group I catalytic introns are large self-splicing ribozymes.
Source: RNAcentral